CAGCCGCCGCGGUAAUACGUAGGUGGCGAGCGUUGUCCGGAAUCAUUGGGCGUAAAGGGAGCGCAGGCGGGCAUGUAAGUCUUUCUUAAAAGUGCGGGGCUCAACCCCGUGAUGGGAAAGAAACUAUGUGUCUUGAGUACAGGAGAGGAAAGCGGAAUUCCCAGUGUAGCGGUGAAAUGCGUAGAUAUUGGGAGGAACACCAGUGGCGAAGGCGGCUUUCUGGACUGCAACUGACGCUGAGGCUCGAAAGCCAGGGGAGCGAACGGGAUUAGAGACCCCAGUAGUCCCUGUCUCUUAUACA
RNAcentral lists this ribosomal RNA (301 nucleotides) under uncultured bacterium. RNAcentral describes it as "partial 16S ribosomal RNA". It matches the Rfam family "Bacterial small subunit ribosomal RNA", at positions 509 to 809 of the family's 1533-position model. The record is from RNAcentral.